CUAUGCGCCUUGCCAGCCGCUCAGUCAGAGUUUGAUCCUGGCUCAGAUUGAACGCUGGCGGCAAGCCUAACACAUGCAAGUCGUGCGGCAGCGAAAGAGAGCUUGCUUUCUUGUCGGCGAGCGGCAAACGGGUGAGUAAUAUCUGGGGAUCUACCUAAAGAGGGGAUAACUACUAGAAAUGGUAGCUAAUACCGCAUAAUGUUGAAACCAAAAUGGGGAUCUAUUAUAAUAGACCUCAUGCUUUAUAUGAACCCCAGACGAGAUUAGCUUGUUGGUAGAGUAAUAGCCUACCAAGGCGACGAUCUCUAGCUGGUCUGAGAGGAUAACCAGCCACACUGGAACCGAGACACGGUCCAG
This 357-nucleotide ribosomal RNA is filed under the name uncultured bacterium. Its description in RNAcentral is "bacterial SSU rRNA". It matches the Rfam family "Bacterial small subunit ribosomal RNA", at positions 1 to 334 of the family's 1533-position model. The record is from RNAcentral.